This is an RNA transcript of Ooceraea biroi (clonal raider ant), 558 nucleotides long. The record is from RefSeq and is a predicted model, not a curated record. Lineage: Eukaryota; Metazoa; Arthropoda; Insecta; Hymenoptera; Formicidae.
UAGAAGUAAGGACCAAUCACUAUAAUGCUAUGAUGGCGUCUCGAUGCGACCGGUGAAUCGCUUGUGUAUGUUUCCGAUUCAAUGAAAAAUUGCGGAUAAGGUUAAGAUUGUUUGGAAAAGACGGACAAAGAAUUUUUGAAGAUCGCUUAUUCACAUUAUUUGCGAAGAUGAGCCGGAAGGAAGCGUUAACUCAAUUUAUACAACAGAUCCAUGGGCGGCCCGUUGUUGUAAAACUAAGUACCGGUAUUGAUUAUAGAGGUGUGUUGGCGUGUCUAGAUGGUUACAUGAACAUAGCUCUAGAACAGACGGAAGAAUAUGUUAAUGGGCAAUUAAAGAAUAAAUACGGGGAUGCUUUUAUAAGGGGGAACAAUGUGUUGUAUAUCAGUACACAAAAGCGUAGAACUUAAUUAAGAAUUGCUGCAAGGCAUGAAGUAUUAUUAACCAAUUAUACAAUAGGGAUAACUGUAACUUUGAAUAAAAAAAGAUUAUUUCUACAGAAAUUGCAAGUGAGACUUAUAUUAAAGAAUUAUAAUAAAUGCAAUUAUAUGUAUAUAUAUA